This 135-nucleotide non-coding RNA is filed under the name Vibrio hippocampi. RNAcentral describes it as "MOCO_RNA_motif". It matches the Rfam family "Molybdenum/Tungsten riboswitch aptamer (Moco RNA motif)". Lineage: Bacteria; Pseudomonadati; Pseudomonadota; Gammaproteobacteria; Vibrionales; Vibrionaceae. The record is from RNAcentral.
UGCCAUAAAUAACUCCGAGCUUUGUUAGCUAAGUCGCGUUGAUAUGCUAGCUCAGCCAGUGGCUAAAGGUCACAAGGGCAUGAUUGGAAAUGAUUCUGCCUCCCGUGUUUGGAAAGGUGUUCCGUGGCGCAACAA